AUCUGUUCAAGGUGCCCGGCGUCGCGGAGACCAUCGACUGGGCGACGGCGCUCACCGAACUCGAUGCCCGCUCGCUGACGCCGCAGGUGGUGGGCGAUACGCUCUGUUGAAGUAUCAGGAUGAUAUUGCGCGCAUGCAGGGCCCGGCACUCGACAAGGUCAUCAAGGAAGCCGUCAGCGAUCCUGCGGCCUGAAUGCGUUUUCGGGAAU
RNAcentral lists this unclassified non-coding RNA (209 nucleotides) under Hevea brasiliensis (rubber tree). Lineage: Eukaryota; Viridiplantae; Streptophyta; Magnoliopsida; Malpighiales; Euphorbiaceae. The record is from RNAcentral.